AUUGAACGCUGGCGGCAGGCCUAACACAUGCAAGUCGAACGGUAACAGGAAGCAGCUUGCUGCUUCGCUGACGAGUGGCGGACGGGUGAGUAAUGUCUGGGAAGCUGCCUGAUGGAGGGGGAUAACUACUGGAAACGGUAGCUAAUACCGCAUAAUGUCGCAAGACCAAAGAGGGGGACCUUCGGGCCUCUUGCCAUCGGAUUUGCCCAGAUGGGAUUAGCUUGUUGGUGGGGUAACGGCUCACCAAGGCGACGAUCCCUAGCUGGUCUGAGAGGAUGACCAGCCACACUGGAACUGAGACACGGUCCAGACUCCUACGGGAGGCAGCAGUGGGGAAUAUUGCACAAUGGGCGCAAGCCUGAUGCAGCCAUGCCGCGUGUAUGAAGAAGGCCUUCGGGUUGUAAAGUACUUUCAGCGGGGAGGAAGGGAGUAAAGUUAAUACCUUUGCUCAUUGACGUUACCCGCAGAAGAAGCACCGGCUAACUCCGUG
Molecule: ribosomal RNA, 490 nt
Filed under: uncultured bacterium
Lineage: Bacteria
Description: partial 16S ribosomal RNA
Rfam family: Bacterial small subunit ribosomal RNA
Source: RNAcentral